CCCUCCCCAGAGCACCUGGGCCCGCCCCACAUCCGCUGCACCUGUCCCACUUUGGGUGUGAUGCCAGGCAUGCAAACCACCCAACACCUCGAGGAACAGCGUGUUCCACCUGAGCACCCGCCCCGACACAACAUGAAUCAUCCCGACGGAAACACCUGCUCGCUAGGAAAAGCAUCUCCACGACGAGGCUGGCGGGCGAACGCGGGACCAGCCAAUUAGCUGCGCAGCGCCGGGCGUCGCUAUUUACUGAACUUGCUAAUUAAAGAGAGCGAGAAGAGCUCGUUACGAAAUGACAGCCACCCACCUGCUUAAUCUGCUACUGAGCCAGCUUUGGCUCCCCGAAACAGAAAACUCUGCUCUUCCCAGGUGCAACGAAUGACCGUUAAUAAGUACCCGAAACAACCCCCCUACCCCAGGGGGAGAGGAGAUGGAGAUUGCUGCUUCCUACCUCCCGGAGAUGGUGCUCCUGGACCUUCUUCAUCUCUGAAGCCCUGCUGCGAUGCUUCCCCUGCCUCUCCGCGCUCUGACACCUUCGCUCGCCUCGGAGACCGUCUCUACGGCGAUGGGGAGGGAGACGAGUCCGAAAAAGAAAAGGAAGAAUCCCACUUCUCGCUCUCCGGCUCUCUCCUCCUCGGCUGGGUGUUCCUGGCACAGACAGAGGAGAUGUUAACCCUGUCUAGAAUGAGGCAGAAUGAGAGAGGGAUGUCGGGCAGGCAGGGUGCAACCAGCAGGGCUGGCACACAGGUUUGCUCUGAGUUGGAAAUCGCUGGGUGGGGAGCAGCAAGUGGGAAGAGGACGGAUCCCAGCAGGCUGCAGAUGGGCUCUCCAUCAAAAGGGUUUCUGCCAUCUGCGGGGUCUGUGGGCUGAGUCCUGCUUCGGGAAAACAAUGAGUUCCAAUGAGGACAACCCCGGUGGCUCACGCGCUGGAGAUCCUCAGUAACCCAGUGAGGGAAUGCUCAUUGGGUGGGAAUAAGGAGGAGACCAGAGCUGCAUCACAUGUGGAAUGAGUGUGCUGGAUCUCAUUGUGGUCCAUCCCGGUCAUGGAUCCGGCUAGCAAUCUGCCAAUGCUGGCCACCAAUGCCCGGAAGUGGCCCGGGAUUGGAUCAGCAGGCCAUGUCACAGGCCCUGCGAUAGCCCAUGCAGAAGGCACCCUGGGGUUCUCCAAACAUCCCGUAAGAGAUGGGCUCUGAGACAGGGAACCCCGAAGCACAGCUGUAAAUGGCAGACACUGGCGAGUGCCCCAGCUGCCUCCCUGGACAGCGCGACAGCCCAGCAACGAACAACAGGGUUAGUGUGUCUGUCUGGGAGCAAGAGCUGAUUCCCCAGCAGGAGAGGGGAACAUGCGAGGGAAGUCCCUCUUUCUGGUCGUAGAGCUGCCGGCCAGCAUGCAGGUACAGGAUAGAAAACCAGACGUGUCACGCUGCACCUCCCGGUUCAUUCCUGCCCAUAUUUAUUUCCCUUCCCCCAAAGAGACAUUACCACGGGAGCUAUCGUCUGCAGCAGCCGGCGCUCCAGGGAACAGUGCUAGGACAGGGGCUCUCAAACAUUCUCAUAGCGCAGAGCACCUCUUCCUAGAGAGAUGGGCUCCCAGACAUCUGCCCUCCUGCCGUAUCCCUGGGAUAACUACACCAACUGCCAACCCACAAAAGGAACCUGAGGGACCAUCAGCAGCUGGAAAUAAGGAGGAGAACAUGCCUCAUUUACUUAUUGGCUUUUCUCUGGAGCAAAUCACUGGAAUCUGAACAUCUCACAUAUGCUAAUGAACUAAUCCUCAGAGCACCCAUGCCAGAUGAGGAAGUAUUAUGACACUCUUAUUCUGGGGAAACUGAGGCACAAAGUGGUUAACUGAUUUGCCCAAGGUCCCAGAGGUCUGAUGCAGUGCUAGGAAAAAACCUCAGAUCUCCUGAGUUCCAGCCCAGUGCCUUAACCACAAGCCCAUCCUUCCUCCCACGCAAUUAGUCAGCUCUCCAGGAACCACCUGCAAGGGUUGCAUAAAUCAUCAGCUGUCCCUGGAUCACAGCUGAACACCUGCUAAGCUAAUGGGCUGAUGCUGUGACUUCCUGAGGCAGGACUCUGGGCACCGGCAUCAUACUGCGGUGGCAAUUUCCCAGUUGCACAGAAUCUAAGGCUGCAUGCACAUAGGCACCGGGAGCCCAUCCCUUACCUCCUGCUUCCAGAGCAAGAAAAUCUUUAACAUCCCCAACUCUGCGUUCCAGCCUGAGACCCCAGCACAAACCGAGGCUGCAGUGAGACACAGAGGGACAGUGCUGGGAUGUCGGGGAAAGAUCCCCCCCGGGGCACAGGCCACAUCCCCCCAUCCCCAGGCUGGGGCAUGAGAACGACCCAAGCAGAGGCAGCUCCCAGAGAAUCCAUCCCAGAAGCUCUGAACGGUGGGGGAGAGCAGUUGGGCUCUUUACUUGAUCUCCAGCAGACAAGCAGCCAUGACCGAGGUGCCCGACAAAGAUGCCUGGAGUCUGUGUGUUUAGUGAAGGCUCCCAGUGACCUCAGCCUUAGGCCCCCGUCUGCACAGAACUGGGCUAGCGCUCGGCUCUGCCUCCCGGUUCUAUUGCGCGUUGGCCCCGUCCGCACUGACCAGUCACAGCAGGUUAGAAAUGGCUUGAAAUGAGUUCCAGACACAGGCCCCCACCCGAGGGGGGCCAGGGGACCCUCAUACCGACAGGCCAACCAGACUCCCCCUAACAUGGAAGGGCUACGGAGAAUAUGGCUCUUUCCCUGCGGUCCCCAUCCUCCAGUGAGAGACCCCGCUGGGCCGUGGGCUCUCUGAGGAGCGGGGGCUGUUGCUGCAAACCUCAGCUGGUCUGGACACCAUGAUCCUGCCCACCCCUCCCCUCGCCCUGUAAAAUCCGACGGAUCAGAUCAGAUCUGGGCUCCUUCUCUCUCCCUUUCCCCUCCCUCCCUCGCGGCUCUGCUGCUGUCAUUCUCUCCCCCUCCUGUCUUGCUUUCCUCCCUUCCCUUCUCUUCCUCCCCUUAGCCCUCCGCUGGGUGGGAGCUGGUUUCCAGCCCUGCUCUGCCCAGGGGAGUUGGGAUGAUGGGCUUUGGCGGCUGCCAUUCCUACAGGGGUCUCUGCACAAGGCCCAAACCUGGUGUCCCUGCUCCCCCUGCUGGCGGAGCUCUGCAGCAGGCCCAGUUCGGAGAAUUCUUGCAGCAUGGGAGCAAUGGAAAUAAUUAAGUGGCGGGAGGGGUUGAUUUUAAGAGGGGGAGCUGUUCCCUGGUGGUUAGGGCUGUCGGGGGCAGGAGCAAACCCCAGGGAGGGAGAGGGGUUAUUUAGGGUGGCACGCAGGGGUAUAGUUCGGGCGACAUGUAGCAAGCAGCGAUGUAGGCGGGUGCUCAGCGGGGACCUGCUGGCAGUGAGCUGCACCAGGCUGAGCCAUACGAUCUCCAGCGAAGCGCUGGGACACUGGGAUAUUUUAGGACAUCGGCCCCUUGCUUGGGGCAUUUUGCUCCCAAACGGGCGAAGUGCUGGACAAUGCAAGGACCAGCUCUGCAGUGGGAGGGGACCAGCUCCCCUCCGCAGGGCUUGCCCAGCUCUUAUGGCUCUGUUUUGAGGACGAGAGGCAGGAAUCCGCACAGUAAGGAACUGGGCGGCUCUCCCUUGCAUCAGGGCUUGCUCUGCCGGUUGUUAGAAGCCCAGCAGGAGGAAUGGGCAGAGACUUCUUCAGCCCAGACAUCUCUGGGGCAUUUAUCAGAGCGGCUGCAGAUUUGAGGGACGGGCGGGGGGAGGGGGGGUGCAUCUGGAAGGACUUGUUGAGACUGGAGAAUAAUACC
This is a long non-coding RNA of Chelonia mydas (Green sea turtle), 3786 nucleotides long. RefSeq lists it as uncharacterized. Lineage: Eukaryota; Metazoa; Chordata; Testudines; Cheloniidae. The record is from RefSeq and is a predicted model, not a curated record. The transcript has 3 exons.